GACCAGCCACACCGGGACUGAGACACGGCCCGGACUCCUACGGGAGGCAGCAGUGGGGAAUAUUGGACAAUGGGGGCAACCCUGACCCAGCCAUGCCGCGUGUGUGAAGAAGGCCUUUUGGUUGUAAAGCACUUUAAGCAGUGAAGAAGACCUAACGGUUAAUACCCGUUAGCGAUGACAUUAGCUGCAGAAUAAGCACCGGCUAACUCUGUGCCAGCAGCCGCGGUAAUACAGAGGGUGCAAGCGUUAAUCGGAAUUACUGGGCGUAAAGCGAGCGUAGGUGGCUUGAUAAGUCAGAUGUGAAAUCCCCGGGCUUAACCUGGGAACUGCAUCUGAUACUGUUGGGCUAGAGUAGGUGAGAGGGAGGUAGAAUUUCAGGUGUAGCGGUGAAAUGCGUAGAGAUCUGAAGGAAUACCGAUGGCGAAGGCAGCCUCCUGGCAUCAUACUGACACUGAGGUUCGAAAGCGUGGGUAACAAACAGGAUUAGAUACCCUGGUAGUCCACGCCGUAAACGAUGUCUACUAGUCGUUGGGGAACUUGAUUCCUUAGUGACGCAGCUAACGCAAUAAGUAGACCGCCUGGGGAGUACGGCCGCAAGGUUAAAACUCAAAUGAAUUGACGGGGGCCCGCACAAGCGGUGGAGCAUGUGGUUUAAUUCGAUGCAACGCGAAGAACCUUACCUGGUCUUGACAUAUCUAGAAUCCUGCAGAGAUGCGGGAGUGCCUUCGGGAAUUAGAAUACAGGUGCUGCAUGGCUGUCGUCAGCUCGUGUCGUGAGAUGUUGGGUUAAGUCCCGCAACGAGCGCAACCCUUUUCCUUAGUUACCAGCGGUUUGGCCGGGGACUCUAAGGAUACUGCCAGUGACAAACUGGAGGAAGGCGGGGACGACGUCAAGUCAUCAUGGCCCUUACGACCAGGGCUACACACGUGCUACAAUGGUAGGUACAGAGGGCAGCUACACAGCGAUGUGAUGCGAAUCUCAAAAAGCCUAUCGUAGUCCAGAUUGGAGUCUGCAACCCGACUCCAUGAAGUAGGAAUCGCUAGUAAUCGCGGAUCAGAAUGCCGCGGUGAAUACGUUCCCGGGCCUUGUACACACCGCCCGUCACACCAUGGGAGUUGAUUGCACCAGAAGUGGGUAGCCUUCUUUUAGAGGGCGCUCACCACGGUGUGGUU
Molecule: ribosomal RNA, 1172 nt
Filed under: uncultured bacterium
Lineage: Bacteria
Description: bacterial SSU rRNA
Rfam family: Bacterial small subunit ribosomal RNA
Source: RNAcentral